RNAcentral lists this ribosomal RNA (582 nucleotides) under Trichoderma asperellum. Its description in RNAcentral is "eukaryotic LSU rRNA". The stretch from base 192 to 345 matches the Rfam family "5.8S ribosomal RNA". The record is from RNAcentral. Lineage: Eukaryota; Fungi; Ascomycota; Sordariomycetes; Hypocreales; Hypocreaceae.
GGGGAGCUCCGGAAUUUUCGCAUCCCAACCCAAUGUGAACGUUACCAAACUGUUGCCUCGGCGGGGUCACGCCCCGGGUGCGUCGCAGCCCCGGAACCAGGCGCCCGCCGGAGGAACCAACCAAACUCUUUCUGUAGUCCCCUCGCGGACGUAUUUCUUACAGCUCUGAGCAAAAAUUCAAAAUGAAUCAAAACUUUCAACAACGGAUCUCUUGGUUCUGGCAUCGAUGAAGAACGCAGCGAAAUGCGAUAAGUAAUGUGAAUUGCAGAAUUCAGUGAAUCAUCGAAUCUUUGAACGCACAUUGCGCCCGCCAGUAUUCUGGCGGGCAUGCCUGUCCGAGCGUCAUUUCAACCCUCGAACCCCUCCGGGGGAUCGGCGUUGGGGAUCGGGACCCCUCACACGGGUGCCGGCCCCGAAAUACAGUGGCGGUCUCGCCGCAGCCUCUCCUGCGCAGUAGUUUGCACAACUCGCACCGGGAGCGCGGCGCGUCCACGUCCGUAAAACACCCAACUUUCUGAAAUGUUGACCUCGGAUCAGGUAGGAAUACCCGGUGAACUUAAGCAUAUCAAUAAGGCGGAGAAA